UACGAAGGGGGCUAGCGUUGCUCGGAAUCACUGGGCGUAAAGGGCGCGUAGGCGGCUUUGUAAGUCGGGGGUGAAAGCCUGUGGCUCAACCACAGAAUUGCCUUCGAUACUGCAUGGCUUGAGACCGGAAGAGGUAAGUGGAACUGCGAGUGUAGAGGUGAAAUUCGUAGAUAUUCGCAAGAACACCAGUGGCGAAGGCGGCUUACUGGUCCGGUUCUGACGCUGAGGCGCGAAAGCGUGGGGAGCAAACAGG
This 253-nucleotide ribosomal RNA is filed under the name uncultured bacterium. RNAcentral's name for it is "partial 16S ribosomal RNA". It matches the Rfam family "Bacterial small subunit ribosomal RNA", at positions 524 to 776 of the family's 1533-position model. The record is from RNAcentral.